Molecule: long non-coding RNA, 276 nt
Filed under: Lathyrus oleraceus (garden pea)
Lineage: Eukaryota; Viridiplantae; Streptophyta; Magnoliopsida; Fabales; Fabaceae
Description: Pisum sativum (pea) long non-coding RNA (PSAT_LNC031753)
Source: RNAcentral
AAAAAAUAAUCAAAUAAAAUGAAAUAAAACAUAAUAAAAUAGAUAAGGAAAAAAUAAUUAGAGUUUGUGUUGGAAAUAUUUUCAGCAAAAUAAAAAUAUGUGGUAAAAAAAAAUCAAGUGAAAUGGAAAAUAAAUGGGUUGAAAAUAAUAAAAAGAAAAAGAAAGGAAACAAAAAAUGGUCAAAGGUGCAUGCUGGGGGUUGAACCUCUGACCUUGGGGUUAUAGGGGGUCAACCCCCUCACCCACUAGGCCAAGCCCCCUUUGGUGAUAACAAAG